UGGGGAAUAUUGCACAAUGGGCGAAAGCCUGAUGCAGCGACGCCGCGUGAGGGAUUACGGCCUUCGUGUUGUAAACCUCUUUCAGUAGGGACGAAGCGCAAGUUACGGUACCUGCAGAAGAAGCACCGGCUAACUACUUGCCAGCAGCAGCGUUAAUACGUAGGGUGCGAGCGUUUUCCGGAAUUACUGGGCGUAAAGAGCUCGUAGGCGGUUUGUCACGUCGUCUGUGAAAUCCUAGGGCUUAACCCAGGACGUGCAGGCGAUACGGGCUGACUUGAGUAGUACAGGGGAGACUGGAAUUUCUGGUGUAGCGGUGGAAUGAACAGAUAUCAGGAAGAACACCGAUGGCGAAGGAAGGUCUCUGGGUAGUAACUGACGUUGAGAAGAGAAAGAAUGGGUAGCGAACAGG
RNAcentral lists this ribosomal RNA (409 nucleotides) under bacterium. RNAcentral's name for it is "partial 16S ribosomal RNA". It matches the Rfam family "Bacterial small subunit ribosomal RNA", at positions 355 to 776 of the family's 1533-position model. The record is from RNAcentral.